ACUCCUACGGGAGGCAGCAGUGGGGAAUAUUGCACAAUGGGGGAAGCCCUGAGCAGCCAGCGNGUGAGUAGGCAGAUCGGGCUUCGGGUUGAAUGAACAGCCACUUUUUUCCAAGGUUAAGGGGGAAGGGAAAGGGUAGUGUAGUUAACACCUGCACUAUUUGACGUUACCUACAGAAGAAGCACCGGCUAACUCCGUGCCAGCAGCCGCGGUAAUACGGAGGGUGCGAGCGUUAAUCGGAAUUACUGGGCGUAAAGCGCAUGCAGGCGGCCUGUUAAGUCAGAUGUGAAAGCCCGGGGCUUAACCUCGGAAUUGCAUUUGAAACUGGCAGGCUAGAGUCUUGUAGAGGGGGGUAGAAUUUCAGGUGUAGCGGUGAAAUGCGUAGAGAUCUGAAGGAAUACCAGUGGCGAAGGCGGCCCCCUGGACAAAGACUGACGCUCAGAUGCGAAAGCGUGGGGAGCAAACAGGAUUAGAUACCCUGGUAGCUA
RNAcentral lists this ribosomal RNA (488 nucleotides) under uncultured bacterium. RNAcentral describes it as "bacterial SSU rRNA". It matches the Rfam family "Bacterial small subunit ribosomal RNA", at positions 335 to 796 of the family's 1533-position model. The record is from RNAcentral.